UACCCGUACCGUUGCCUCGGCGGGCGGCCCCAGGGCGGGGCCGCAGCCUCCCCAGCGGAGGCGCCCGCCGCAGGUCGCAAAACUAUAACUAUAUUUAGUGGCAUCUCUGAGUAACUUCCAAACAAUCAAAACUUUCAACAACGGAUCUCUUGGUUCUGGCAUCGAUGAAGAACGCAGCGAAAUGCGAUAAGUAAUGUGAAUUGCAGAAUUCAGUGAAUCAUCGAAUCUUUGAACGCACAUUGCGCCCGCCAGCAUUCUGGCGGGCAUGCCUGUCCGAGCGUCAUUUCAACCCUCAAGCCCUGCUUGGUGUUGGGGCACUACGCGCGAGCGUAGGCCCUCAAAAUCAGUGGCGGACCCGCUGGAGGUCCGGGCGUAGUAACACAUCUCGCCCGAGGUCCCCAGCGUGCCCCUGCCGUUAAACCCCCAAAUUUACAGAAGGUUGACCUCGGAUCAGGUAGGAAUACCCGCUGAACUUAAGCAUAUCAAUAAGCGGAGGAAAAGAAACCAACAGGGAUUGCCCUAGUAACGGCGAGUGAAGCGGCAACAGCUCGAAUUUGAAAUCUGGCCUCGGCCCGAGUUGUAAUCUGUAGAGGAUGCUUUUGGCGCGGUGCCUUCCGAGUGCCCUGGAACGGGACGCCACAGAGGGUGAGAGCCCCGUAUGGUCGGACACCAAGCCUGUGUAAAGCUCCUUCGACGAGUCGGGUAGCUUGGGAAUGCUGCUCUAAGUGGGAGGUAAACUUCUUCUAAAGCUAAAUACUGGCCAGAGACCGAUAGCGCACAAGUAGAGUGAUCGAAAGAUGAAAAGCACUUUGAAAAGAGGGUCAAAUAGUACGUGAAAUUGUUGAAAGGGAAGCGCUCAUGACCAGACUUGCGCCGGGCUGAUCAUCCAGUGGUCUCCACUGGUGCACUCUGCCCGGCUCAGGCCAGCGUCGGCUGUCACGGGGGGACAAAAGCACUGGGAAAGUAGCUCUCUCCGGGGAGUGUUAUAGCCCUAUGCAGAAUACCCCCGCGGCGGCCGAG
This 1020-nucleotide unclassified non-coding RNA is filed under the name Phialemonium inflatum. RNAcentral's name for it is "sequence contains ITS1, 5.8S rRNA gene, ITS2 and 28S rRNA gene". The stretch from base 441 to 1020 matches the Rfam family "Eukaryotic large subunit ribosomal RNA", at positions 1 to 592 of the family's 3401-position model. The record is from RNAcentral. Lineage: Eukaryota; Fungi; Ascomycota; Sordariomycetes; Cephalothecales; Cephalothecaceae.